This 495-nucleotide long non-coding RNA is filed under the name Homo sapiens (human). RNAcentral's name for it is "non-protein coding lnc-SERTAD2-8:2". The record is from RNAcentral. Lineage: Eukaryota; Metazoa; Chordata; Mammalia; Primates; Hominidae.
GAGCCAGGCCAAGGGAUAGGAAUAGCUCUGGCUAAGCGGUGGCCAAGGAUGUGGGCAGAAGACAACCCUCCAGGGUUGGCAAUCAACCAGGCCCCUUGAGGCUGUAGUGAAUUGUGAUUGUGUUGCUGUACUCCAACCUGGGCAACAGAGUGAGACCCUGUCUCAACAACAAUAAAAAAGAGAUCAAAGGGAAUGCCUUAGUCCCUUUUCCCCUUUCACUUUUAUGCCAUGUGAGGACACACAAGAGCACCUAUCUUGGAAGCAAAGAUGGAGCCCUCACCAGACACCAAAUCUGCUGGCUUUGAUCUUAGAGCUCUCAGCCUCCAGAGCUAUGAAAAAUAAAUAUCUGGGCCAGUGGCAGUGACUCGCACCUAUAAUCCCAGCGCUUUGGGAGGCUGAGACAGGUGGAUUGCUUGAACCUGGGAGGCAGAGGUUGCAGUGAGCCGAAAUCACGCCAUUGCACUCCAGCCUGGGCAACAAGAGCGAAACUCCGCA